UAGUUGGUGGGGUAAAGGCCUACCAAGGCGACGAUCAGUAGCGGGUCUGAGAGGAUGAUCCGCCACACUGGAACUGAGACACGGUCCAGACUCCUACGGGAGGCAGCAGUGGGGAAUUUUGGACAAUGGGGGCAACCCUGAUCCAGCCAUUCCGCGUGAGUGAAGAAGGCCUUCGGGUUGUAAAGCUCUUUCAGCUGGAACGAAACGGUACAUCCUAAUACGGUGUGCUAAUGACGGUACCAGCAGAAGAAGCACCGGCUAACUACGUGCCAGCAGCCGCGGUAAUACGUAGGGUGCGAGCGUUAAUCGGAAUUACUGGGCGUAAAGCGUGCGCAGGCGGAUUGUUAAGCAAGAUGUGAAAUCCCCGGGCUUAACCUGGGAAUGGCAUUUUGAACUGGCAGUCUAGAGUGUGUCAGAGGGGGGUGGAAUUCCACGUGUAGCAGUGAAAUGCGUAGAGAUGUGGAGGAACACCAAUGGCGAAGGCAGCCCCCUGGGAUAACACUGACGCUCAUGUACGAAAGCGUGGGUAGCAAACAGGAUUAGAUACCCUGGUAGUCCACGCCCUAAACGAUGUCAACUGGUUGUUGGGGGAGUGAAAUCCCUUAGUAACGAAGCUAACGCGUGAAGUUGACCGCCUGGGGAGUACGGUCGCAAGAUUAAAACUCAAAGGAAUUGACGAAAACCCGCACAAGCGGUGGAUGAUGUGGAUUAAUUCGAUGCAACGCGAAAAACCUUACCUACCCUUGACAUGUCCAGAACCCUGCAGAGAUGCGGGGGUGCCCGAAAGGGAAUUGGAACACAGGUGCUGCAUGGCUGUCGUCAGCUCGUGUCGUGAGAUGUUGGGUUAAGUCCCGCAACGAGCGCAACCCUUAUCAUUAGUUGCUACGCAAGGGCACUCUAAUGAGACUGCCGG
Molecule: ribosomal RNA, 913 nt
Filed under: uncultured bacterium
Lineage: Bacteria
Description: bacterial SSU rRNA
Rfam family: Bacterial small subunit ribosomal RNA
Source: RNAcentral